RNAcentral lists this ribosomal RNA (416 nucleotides) under uncultured bacterium. Its description in RNAcentral is "bacterial SSU rRNA". It matches the Rfam family "Bacterial small subunit ribosomal RNA", at positions 355 to 768 of the family's 1533-position model. The record is from RNAcentral.
UGAGGAAUAUUGGUCAAUGGGCGGAAGCCUGAACCAGCCAUGCCGCGUGAAGGAUUAAGGCCCUACGGGUCGUAAACUUCUUUUGACGCAGAGCAAUAAGGUUUACGUGUAGACCGAUGAGAGUAUGCGUCGAAUAAGCAUCGGCUAACUCCGUGCCAGCAGCCGCGGUAAUACGGAGGAUGCGAGCGUUAUCCGGAUUUAUUGGGUUUAAAGGGUGCGUAGGCGGAGAUGUAAGUCAGUGGUGAAAGGUCCCGGCUCAACCGGGGAGCUGCCAUUGAUACUGCGUUUCUUGAAUGCGGAUGCCGUGGGAGGAAUGUGUGGUGUAGCGGUGAAAUGCAUAGAUAUCACACAGAACACCGAUUGCGAAGGCAUCUCACGAAUCCGUAAUUGACGCUGAGGCACGAAAGCGUGGGGAU